This 782-nucleotide ribosomal RNA is filed under the name Microbacterium oxydans. Its description in RNAcentral is "bacterial SSU rRNA". It matches the Rfam family "Bacterial small subunit ribosomal RNA", at positions 374 to 1168 of the family's 1533-position model. The record is from RNAcentral. Lineage: Bacteria; Bacillati; Actinomycetota; Actinomycetes; Micrococcales; Microbacteriaceae.
GGCGCAGCCUGAUGCAGCAACGCCGCGUGAGGGACGACGGCCUUCGGGUUGUAAACCUCUUUUAGCAGGGAAGAAGCGAAAGUGACGGUACCUGCAGAAAAAGCGCCGGCUAACUACGUGCCAGCAGCCGCGGUAAUACGUAGGGCGCAAGCGUUAUCCGGAAUUAUUGGGCGUAAAGAGCUCGUAGGCGGUUUGUCGCGUCUGCUGUGAAAUCCGGAGGCUCAACCUCCGGCCUGCAGUGGGUACGGGCAGACUAGAGUGCGGUAGGGGAGAUUGGAAUUCCUGGUGUAGCGGUGGAAUGCGCAGAUAUCAGGAGGAACACCGAUGGCGAAGGCAGAUCUCUGGGCCGUAACUGACGCUGAGGAGCGAAAGGGUGGGGAGCAAACAGGCUUAGAUACCCUGGUAGUCCACCCCGUAAACGUUGGGAACUAGUUGUGGGGUCCAUUCCACGGAUUCCGUGACGCAGCUAACGCAUUAAGUUCCCCGCCUGGGGAGUACGGCCGCAAGGCUAAAACUCAAAGGAAUUGACGGGGACCCGCACAAGCGGCGGAGCAUGCGGAUUAAUUCGAUGCAACGCGAAGAACCUUACCAAGGCUUGACAUAUACGAGAACGGGUCAGAAAUGGUCAACUCUUUGGACACUCGUAAACAGGUGGUGCAUGGUUGUCGUCAGCUCGUGUCGUGAGAUGUUGGGUUAAGUCCCGCAACGAGCGCAACCCUCGUUCUAUGUUGCCAGCACGUAAUGGUGGGAACUCAUGGGAUACUGCCGGGGUCAACUCGGAG